GCCAGCAAAGGAGGUUUUGAAAUGGUCAGCGAAGAAAAGAAAUGGUCCAAAGUCGAUAUCUGCUUGGGAUAUCUGCCAGGAAAAGAAACUGGAUCUCUCUUCAAAGUCUCACUAGGAAAGAAUUCUCUACUCAUAUGAGCUGUUGCAGUCUGGUGGUGUCAGUCUUAUGUGGGCAGCUUAUAUCGUGGAAAGAAACCUCGAAGGCCUAAAGAAAGAAAACACUUGUGAUGGGCAAAAGGAUGCCUCUCUGCACGUGGGACCUGAAGUGGCAGUAUGUCACAUACCAGUCUCCUUCAUGCCCCCUUAGAGCCCAGGCUGAAGAGAAACUCAUA
Ochotona curzoniae (black-lipped pika) is the source of this 332-nucleotide long non-coding RNA. RefSeq lists it as uncharacterized. The record is from RefSeq and is a predicted model, not a curated record. NCBI's taxonomy places the organism in Eukaryota, Metazoa, Chordata, Mammalia, Lagomorpha, Ochotonidae. The transcript has 3 exons.